Pezoporus occidentalis (night parrot) is the source of this 1102-nucleotide long non-coding RNA. RefSeq lists it as uncharacterized. NCBI's taxonomy places the organism in Eukaryota, Metazoa, Chordata, Aves, Psittaciformes, Psittacidae. The record is from RefSeq and is a predicted model, not a curated record. The transcript is spliced from 2 exons.
UGAAUCAAUUGCUUCUUUUUACAUUUUGGUUGCUACAGAGACCAAUACAAUCUUUAGAUGGAGUUAGCAACUCUUAACCUGUGUCAAAGAAAGAGACCAAGAAUGAGCAUGAGUCGGAGAAGACCAGUGAAGCCUCACAGCGUGGAAGGAUGUGAAAAAGACCCAACAGCAGAGAAUAAGAGGAUGUGAGCUGUGCUGUGCUCACAAUGAAAUCAUUGGGAAUUUUGCCAUGAAAGUAGAACUGAGUUGUUCUUUCAGGCCCAGUCCUGCUUCUUCUGAAGUUGGUUGCUGUAGUGUCUCUGAUUGCCAUGAGCACACACUGAGGACAACCUUGGGAAUGUGCAUGGUGAAAGGUGUCACUGGCCAUCCUGUGUUCACUGAUGCAGUCUGUUGCUACUGUUUCAAGAAGUAGAUGGUAAGUGAAAAAUUUGCCAAACUCUUUUUUUCACCACUGCAAUUAAGAAGCCUGGUUCCAUCCUGAGGAGGCCAAUGACAGUAUGUUGGCGUGUUGCUCAAACCAACCCCCGGAGGUUUUUUGUACCCCUUUUGGUACAAAAACACUAGGGGAUUUACACUAGGGGAUAAAUAGGUGGUUCCAGAGCAAGAAGGAAAGAGCCAAAGUUGGAAGCUAACCACAAUACGUGGGUGUAAACGAUUACCAAAGGCUUCCAGUAACUCUGCUAUCAUCAGAGACUGGCUUUAUGGGUAUGGCCUCAAGAAGUUUCCCUCCACUUAAUUAAAGAGGCAGAUAAGUAUCUAGGUGGAGUGUGCAGAUAGGUUCUGAAUGAGUUACCCACUAAGGCUGGUUCGCUGCACCUAUUGUUAAAGCCAGAGUAUAAUAUCAGAUUAAUGCAUUAUAUUUGCCUAUUAUAGCACUAUGUCAUCAUUAUAUGACAUGUUAUAAUUAAAGCCCUGCAUUAGAAACAAAACUAUUUGGCUUGGGAUAAGUUGCCUUUACGACUUCUGUGGUUAUGAUUUCCUCCUUUUCUUAACCCCUUAAAACUGCAUAAUAUAGCUAUUUGUAACUGUAUAAAGAAAGUUUCUAGUUUCAGAUUCUAAUCUCAGGUAAUUCAAUGUAAGUAAAGUCAAAAUCUGGCACAUA